This 72-nucleotide transfer RNA is filed under the name Pelobates cultripes (western spadefoot toad). RNAcentral describes it as "tRNA.Gly". It matches the Rfam family "tRNA". From Rfam's summary of the family: Transfer RNA (tRNA) molecules are approximately 80 nucleotides in length. Their secondary structure includes four short double-helical elements and three loops (D, anti-codon, and T loops). Lineage: Eukaryota; Metazoa; Chordata; Amphibia; Anura; Pelobatidae. The record is from RNAcentral.
GCGUUGGUGGUAUAGUGGUGAGCAUAGCUGUCUUCCAAGCAGUUGACCCGGGUUUGAUUCCCGGCCAACGCA